Molecule: ribosomal RNA, 468 nt
Filed under: uncultured bacterium
Lineage: Bacteria
Description: partial 16S ribosomal RNA
Rfam family: Bacterial small subunit ribosomal RNA
Source: RNAcentral
GACGAACGCUGGCGGCGUGCUUAACACAUGCAAGUCGAACGGAAAGGCCCUGCUUUUGUGGGGUGCUCGAGUGGCGAACGGGUGAGUAACACGUGAGUAACCUGCCCUUGACUUUGGGACAACUUCAGGAAACUGGGGCUAAUACCGGAUAGGAGCUCCUGCUGCAUGGUGGGGGUUGGAAAGUUUCGGCGGUUGGGGAUGGACUCGCGGCUUAUCAGCUUGUUGGUGGGGUAGUGGCUUACCAAGGCUUUGACGGGUAGCCGGCAUGAGAGGGUGACCGGCCACAUUGGGACUGCGAUACGGCGCAGACUCCUACGGGAGACAGCAGUGGGGAAUAUUGCACAAUGGGAGGAAGCCUGAUGCAGCAACGCCGCGUGCGGGAUGACGGCCUUCGGGGUGUAAACCGCUUUCGCCUGUGACGAAGCGUGAGUGACGGUAAUGGGUAAAGAAGCACCGGCUAACUACGUG